Molecule: long non-coding RNA, 1125 nt
Filed under: Callithrix jacchus (white-tufted-ear marmoset)
Lineage: Eukaryota; Metazoa; Chordata; Mammalia; Primates; Cebidae
Description: lncRNA (ENSCJAG00000074390.1)
Source: RNAcentral
CAGGGACUCCUUUCCGCUUUGCUUGUUUUACUCAGGUUUGUCAAAGAUCAGAUGGUUGUAUAUGUGUGGCAUUGCCUCUGAGGCCUCUGUUCUGUUCCAUUGGUCUAUAUCUCUGUUUUGGUGCCAGUACUAUGCUGUUUUGAUUACUGUAGCCUUGUAGUAUAGUUUGAAGUCAGGUAGCGUGAUGCAUCCAGCUUUGUUCUUUUUGCUUAGCAUUGUCUUGGCUAUGCGGGCUCUCUUUUGCUUAGAAUUGACUUGGCUAUGCGGGCUCUCUUUUGGUUCCAUAUGAAGUUCAUGGUGGUUUUUUCCAGUUCUGUGAAGAAAGUCAAUGGUAGCUUGAUGGGGAUAGCGUUGAUUCUGUAAAUUACUUUGGGCAGUAUAGCCAUUUUCACGAUAUUAAUUCUUCCUAACCAUGAACAAGGAAUGUUUCUCCAUCUGUUUGUGUCCUCUCUGAUUUCGUUGAGCAGUGGUUUGUAGUUCUCCUUGAAGAGGUCCCUUACAUUCCUUGUGAGUUGUAUUCCAAGGUAUUUUAUUCUUUUUGUAGCAAUUGCGAAUGGCAGUUCGCUCUUGAUUUGGCUUUCUUUAAGUCUGUUAUUGGUGUAGACGAAUGCUUGUGAUUUUUGCACAUUGAUUUUAUAUCCUGAGACUUUGCUGAAGUUGUUUAUCAGUUUCAGGAGUUUUUGGGCUGAGGCGAUGGGGUCUUCUAGGUAUACUAUCAUGUCGUCUGCAAAUAGAGACAAUUUGGCUUCCACCUUUCCUAUUUGAAUACCCUUUAUUUCUUUUUCUUGCCUGAUUGCUCUGGCUAGAACUUCCAGUACUAUAUUGAAUAGGAGUGGUGAGAGAGGGCAUCCUUGUCUAGUACCAGAUUUCAAAGGGAAUGCUUCCAGUUUUUGCCCAUUCAGUAUGAUAUUGGCUGUUGGUUUGUCAUAAAUAGCUUUUAUUACUUUGAGAUACGUUCCAUCGAUACCGAGUUUAUUGAGGGUUUUUAGCAUAAAGGGCUGUUGAAUUUUGUCAAAUGCCUUCUCUGCGUCAAUUGAGAUAAUCAUGUGGUUUUUGUUUUUGGUUCUGUUUAUGUGGUGAAUUACGUUGAUAGACUUGCGUAUGUUGAACCAGCCUUGCAUCCCU